Molecule: ribosomal RNA, 482 nt
Filed under: Streptococcus mitis
Lineage: Bacteria; Bacillati; Bacillota; Bacilli; Lactobacillales; Streptococcaceae
Description: bacterial SSU rRNA
Rfam family: Bacterial small subunit ribosomal RNA
Source: RNAcentral
GACGAACGCUGGCGGCGUGCCUAAUACAUGCAAGUAGAACGCUGAAGGAAGGAGCUUGCUCUUUCCGGAUGAGUUGCGAACGGGUGAGUAACGCGUAGGUAACCUGCCUGGUAGCGGGGGAUAACUAUUGGAAACGAUAGCUAAUACCGCAUAAUAGCAGUUAUUGCAUGAUAACUGUUUGAAAGGUGCAAAUGCAUCACUACCAGAUGGACCUGCGUUGUAUUAGCUAGUUGGUGGGGUAACGGCUCACCAAGGCGACGAUACAUAGCCGACCUGAGAGGGUGAUCGGCCACACUGGGACUGAGACACGGCCCAGACUCCUACGGGAGGCAGCAGUAGGGAAUCUUCGGCAAUGGACGGAAGUCUGACCGAGCAACGCCGCGUGAGUGAAGAAGGUUUUCGGAUCGUAAAGCUCUGUUGUAAGAGAAGAACGAGUGUGAGAGUGGAAAAGUUCACACUGUGACGGUAUCUACCCAGAAAGG